AGCGAACGCUGGCGGCAGGCUUAACACAUGCAAGUCGAACGGGCAUCUUCGGAUGUCAGCGGCAGACGGGUGAGUAACACGUGGGAACGUACCCCUCGGUUCGGAACAACUCUGGGAAACUGGAGCUAAUACCGGAUACGCCCUUAUGGGGAAAGGUUUACUGCCGAAGGAUCGGCCCGCGUCUGAUUAGCUAGUUGGUGGGGUAACGGCCUACCAAGGCGACGAUCAGUAGCUGGUCUGAGAGGAUGAUCAGCCACACUGGGACUGAGACACGGCCCAGACUCCUACGGGAGGCAGCAGUGGGGAAUAUUGGACACUGGGCGCAAGCCUGAUCCAGCCAUGCCGCGUGAGUGAUGAAGGCCUUAGGGUUGUAAAGCUCUUUUGUCCGGGACGAUAAUGACGGUACCGGAAGAAUAAGCCCCGGCUAACUUCGU
RNAcentral lists this ribosomal RNA (434 nucleotides) under uncultured bacterium. Its description in RNAcentral is "partial 16S ribosomal RNA". It matches the Rfam family "Bacterial small subunit ribosomal RNA", at positions 29 to 506 of the family's 1533-position model. The record is from RNAcentral.